AGCACAGUUAUCAAGAAUUGUGCCAAUGACGUAACGUUCAGGGGAUUCAGAUGGACAUGGCAGGCACCGUGAAAUGGUUCAGCGACAUCAAGGGCUUCGGUUUCAUCACGCCCGAUGAUGGGAGCGGAGAUGUCUUUGCGCACUUCUCCGCCAUCCAGAUGGAAGGCUUUCGCACCCUCAAGCAGGGGCACCGCGUCACCUUUGAGAUGAGCCAAGGCCCCAAAGGCUGCCUGGCCCUGAACAUCCGCGCACUGGCCGAUGCCGACAAGGCCACAGUUCCUUGAACCCGCUUGACGCCAGAUGUCAAAAACCCGCCAUUUGGCGGGUUUUUGCGU
This 335-nucleotide small RNA is filed under the name Vitreoscilla filiformis. Its description in RNAcentral is "Rfam family:cspA". Lineage: Bacteria; Pseudomonadati; Pseudomonadota; Betaproteobacteria; Neisseriales; Neisseriaceae. The record is from RNAcentral.